UACCUAAUCUGUCCUAGCACACACUGUUGAAACCUUUUCCUUUGUCUCCUUUAGAUGCCUCUGAAUUAUUGCCCAACUACAGGUUCAGGACUCUACAAAGUAUGAGCAUUAGAGCCAUUAACCUGAGAACCUGAACUAGCCUGAGAAAACUUGUUCAUCCAACUACCUGUUCAACAUCUCCUACAGGAAUCUAAAACUGAACACAUUCACAAUGGAACUCUUGCCUUCUACCUCCCGUGUCCUUCUCUUCUUGGUAAAUGGCAUCAUGAUUCAUCCAGACUUUACUUGGAAACCACGGAGCAGAAGGUCUUGCAAAGGAGGUGAUCAUAGCAAAAUGUGAUCAACACAAGCCUAUGGUGAGUCAAGGCAGCAGAUGGUGAACUGGCUGUUGUAUGCAAGGGCACAAUCCUUACCUGACCUGUAAGUCACCCUCAGCAGCCACAUCAGGUCGUGGGUGGCUGUUGACCAGAGUUGCCAUGCUAGGCUGAGGAUUAUAGCUUCUUGCUGGCAUGAACCACCACUUUCUUUGGAAGGGUUAUGGAGGGAGGGAGCAGUCAGUUGUGAAAGGUCCUGCUUCUCUGAUCUUGCCAGCAGGCUUUUGGAUGUACUACCACUACUAAGGUGAUGUCAACCAUAGCAAAUAUGUGCAGUGCUUGCUUCAUGUUGGGACUGUUCUAAGUGUUUUAUAUGUAUUAACACAAUUACCAUAGCCCCCAAGGUAUAUUUGUGAUGGCCACAAAGUCUUUGAUACUUUUCCUCUUGAAUCUGGCUGGACUCUGUGACUACUUUGACCAAUAGGAUAUGGUGGCAGUUAGGAGGUGCCUGUUAUAAACUGUCUUUUGGAACUUGCUCUUGGAUGCUCACUCUAGGACAAGCAUGACAAACUCAAAGACUAACACUGGUCAAAUAAAGAAGGUUUAAGUUUAUGUGGGCCACAAAAAAACAAAAGCUUCAAUUUUCAUAGAAACAUAGGUUCAUUUUGAUAGAGACAU
This is a long non-coding RNA of Pipistrellus kuhlii (Kuhl's pipistrelle), 992 nucleotides long. RefSeq lists it as uncharacterized. The transcript is spliced from 3 exons. NCBI's taxonomy places the organism in Eukaryota, Metazoa, Chordata, Mammalia, Chiroptera, Vespertilionidae. The record is from RefSeq and is a predicted model, not a curated record.